Molecule: long non-coding RNA, 189 nt
Organism: Cucumis sativus (cucumber)
Lineage: Eukaryota; Viridiplantae; Streptophyta; Magnoliopsida; Cucurbitales; Cucurbitaceae
Exons: 2
Source: RefSeq, a predicted model, not a curated record
AGUUGGGUUGCUAAUCCCAAAGCCAACGGUGGUUGUUGCUGCUGCUGCUGCAGGAAGCGGGUGUGGCAGUGUGAAUGAUGAAUUAGAAGAAGAAGGCGCCACGUUUGCGUUGUGAAGAGCCUCAAGUUGCGUAAAGAAUUUAUUUCUGAAAAAGUCAUGCAAACGGAUCUGGAGAUAUAUAUCAAAAAA